Molecule: ribosomal RNA, 506 nt
Filed under: uncultured bacterium
Lineage: Bacteria
Description: partial 16S ribosomal RNA
Rfam family: Bacterial small subunit ribosomal RNA
Source: RNAcentral
AGUGAACGCUGGCGGUAGGCCUAACACAUGCAAGUCGAACGGCAGCACAGAGGAGCUUGCUCCUUGGGUGGCGAGUGGCGGGCGGGGGAGGAAUACAUCGGAAUCUACUCUGUCGUGGGGGAUAACGUAGGGAAACUUACGCUAAUACCGCAUACGACCUACGGGUGAAAGCAGGGGACCUUCGGGCCUUGCGCGAUUGAAUGAGCCGAUGUCGGAUUAGCUCGUUGGCGGGGUAAAGGCCCACCAAGGCGACGAUCCGUAGCUGGUCUGAGAGGAUGAUCAGCCACACUGGAACUGAGACACGGUCCAGACUCCUACGGGAGGCAGCAGUGGGGAAUAUUGGACAAUGGGCGCAAGCCUGAUCCAGCCAUACCGCGUGGGUGAAGAAGGCCUUCGGGUUGUAAAGCCCUUUUGUUGGGAAAGAAAUCCAGCUGGCUAAUACCCGGUUGGGAUGACGGUACCCAAAGAAUAAGCACCGGCUAACUUCGUGCCAGCCGCCGCGGUAA